This 715-nucleotide ribosomal RNA is filed under the name Bacillus subtilis. RNAcentral describes it as "bacterial SSU rRNA". It matches the Rfam family "Bacterial small subunit ribosomal RNA", at positions 68 to 765 of the family's 1533-position model. The record is from RNAcentral. Lineage: Bacteria; Bacillati; Bacillota; Bacilli; Caryophanales; Bacillaceae.
GGACAGAUGGGAGCUUGCUCCCUGAUGUUAGCGGCGGACGGGUGAGUAACACGUGGGUAACCUGCCUGUAAGACUGGGAUAACUCCGGGAAACCGGGGCUAAUACCGGAUGGUUGUUUGAACCGCAUGGUUCAAACAUAAAAGGUGGCUUCGGCUACCACUUACAGAUGGACCCGCGGCGCAUUAGCUAGUUGGUGAGGUAACGGCUCACCAAGGCAACGAUGCGUAGCCGACCUGAGAGGGUGAUCGGCCACACUGGGACUGAGACACGGCCCAGACUCCUACGGGAGGCAGCAGUAGGGAAUCUUCCGCAAUGGACGAAAGUCUGACGGAGCAACGCCGCGUGAGUGAUGAAGGUUUUCGGAUCGUAAAGCUCUGUUGUUAGGGAAGAACAAGUACCGUUCGAAUAGGGCGGUACCUUGACGGUACCUAACCAGAAAGCCACGGCUAACUACGUGCCGGCAGCCGCGGUAAUACGUAGGUGGCAAGCGUUGUCCGGAAUUAUUGGGCGUAAAGGGCUCGCAGGCGGUUUCUUAAGUCUGAUGUGAAAGCCCCCGGCUCAACCGGGGAGGGUCAUUGGAAACUGGGGAACUUGAGUGCAGAAGAGGAGAGUGGAAUUCCACGUGUAGCGGUGAAAUGCGUAGAGAUGUGGAGGAACACCAGUGGCGAAGGCGACUCUCUGGUCUGUAACUGACGCUGAGGAGCGAAAGCGUGGG